Molecule: non-coding RNA, 115 nt
Organism: Canis lupus familiaris (dog)
Lineage: Eukaryota; Metazoa; Chordata; Mammalia; Carnivora; Canidae
Source: Rfam
CGCUUUGUGCAAUGGUAGUAUCGUAACCAAUGAAGUUUAUCCGAGGCGCAAUUAUUGCUAAUAUGGCUUUUACCAUUUACGUAUUAUUUAUAUUUUCUAUAAAGUAGUAUAUUAC